RNAcentral lists this ribosomal RNA (250 nucleotides) under uncultured bacterium. RNAcentral describes it as "partial 16S ribosomal RNA". It matches the Rfam family "Bacterial small subunit ribosomal RNA", at positions 524 to 773 of the family's 1533-position model. The record is from RNAcentral.
UACAGAGGGUGCAAGCGUUGUUCGGAAUUACUGGGCGUAAAGCGCGUGUAGGUGGCAUGGUAAGUCUCGUGUGAAAGCCCUGGGCUCAACCCAGGAAGUGCGCGAGAUACUGCCGUGCUGGAGUGAUGGAGAGGAUGGCGGAAUUCCCGGUGUAGAGGUGAAAUUCGUAGAUAUCGGGAGGAACACCUGUGGCGAAGGCGGCCAUCUGGACAUUUACUGACACUGAGACGCGAAAGCGUGGGUAGCAAAC